CAAGAGAAGAACUCUGCCUGGGGAGAGCGAAGCCAGAGAAAACUCUGGUGGAGGCCCGUAGUGGUGCUGACAUGCAAAUCAGUCAUCCGCCCUAGAUAUUGGGGUGAAAAACUAAUUGAACCAUCUAGUAGCU
Ribosomal RNA from Alligator mississippiensis (American alligator), 133 nucleotides. It matches the Rfam family "Eukaryotic large subunit ribosomal RNA", at positions 817 to 952 of the family's 3401-position model. The record is from Rfam. Lineage: Eukaryota; Metazoa; Chordata; Crocodylia; Alligatoridae.